Molecule: ribosomal RNA, 465 nt
Filed under: Vreelandella stevensii
Lineage: Bacteria; Pseudomonadati; Pseudomonadota; Gammaproteobacteria; Oceanospirillales; Halomonadaceae
Description: partial 16S ribosomal RNA
Rfam family: Bacterial small subunit ribosomal RNA
Source: RNAcentral
CCUACGGGGUGCAGCAGUGGGGAAUAUUGGACAAUGGGCGAAAGCCUGAUCCAGCCAUGCCGCGUGUGUGAAGAAGGCCUUCGGGUUGUAAAGCACUUUCAGUGGGGAAGAAAGCCUUGGGGCUAAUACCCUCGAGGAAGGACAUCACCCACAGAAGAAGCACCGGCUAACUCCGUGCCAGCAGCCGCGGUAAUACGGAGGGUGCGAGCGUUAAUCGGAAUUACUGGGCGUAAAGCGCGCGUAGGCGGUCUGAUAAGCCGGUUGUGAAAGCCCCGGGCUCAACCUGGGAACGGCAUCCGGAACUGUCAGGCUAGAGUGCAGGAGAGGAAGGUAGAAUUCCCGGUGUAGCGGUGAAAUGCGUAGUGAUCGGGAGGAAUACCAGUGGCGAAGGCGGCCUUCUGGACUGACACUGACGCUGAGGUGCGAAAGCGUGGGUAGCAAACAGGAUUAGAUACCCCUGUAGUC